Molecule: long non-coding RNA, 3974 nt
Filed under: Sus scrofa (pig)
Lineage: Eukaryota; Metazoa; Chordata; Mammalia; Artiodactyla; Suidae
Description: lncRNA (ENSSSCG00040026082.1)
Source: RNAcentral
GGCUAGGGGUUGAAUCAGAGCUGUAGCCACCGGCCUACACCAGAGCCACAGCAACACGGGAUCCGAGCCGUGUCUGCAACCUACACCACAGCUCACGGCAAUGCUGGAUCCUUAACCCACUGAGCACGGUCAGGGAUUGAACCCGCAACUUCAUGGUUCCUUGUUGGAUUCGUUGAACACUGAGCCAAAUCAGGAACUCCUCUCUUCUUGUGAUUGGAUGACUAUCUUUAGUGUUGUAUUUGAGUUGAUUUUUCUUAUUUUUGUGUAUAUCAAUUGUGGAUUUUUGGUUUGCAGUUAGUCUGAAGUUUUGGUGUAAGAGUCUAUAUAUAUAAGACAUUGUUUUAAGUUGUUGGUUUUGUAAUUGCAGUUGCAUCUCCAUUGUCCUGCAUUUGAUUUCUGAUUUUGGUGGCAUAAUUGUGCAUGGAUGAUCUGCAUAGCUUUACUGUAUAUAUGUGUUCACUGGUGAGCCUUGUCAUUUGUAAUAUUUUUGUUUCUGGUUUCGGCCUUUUUUGUCUGCCGAGAGAAGUUCCUUUAGUAUUUGUUGUUAAACUGGUUUAGUGUUGCUGAAUUCUCUUGGCUUUUGCUUAUCUGUGAAGGUUUUGAUUUCUCCUUCAAAUCUGAAUGAGAGCUUUGCUGGGGAACGUAAUCUUGGUUGGAGGUUUUUCCUUUCAUCACGUUAAGUAUAUCAUGUCACUCCCUUCUGGCCUGCAGAGCUUCUGCUGAAAAAUCUACUGAUAACCUUAUCUGGGUUCCCUAGUAUGUUAUUUGUUUCUUUGCCCUAGCUGCUUUCAACAUUUUCUCUUUGACUUUAAUUUUGGUCAGUUUGAUUAAUAUGUGUCUCGGGGUGUUCCUCCUUGUGUUUAUUUUAUAUGUUACUCGUUGUGCUUCCUGGAAUUGAGUGAGUGGUUCCUUUCCCAUGUUAGGGAAGUUUUUGGCUUUUAUCUUUUCGAAUGUUUUUUCUGUCCCUUUCUCUCUUCUCCUUCUGGCACCCAUAUAAUACGGAUGUUGGUGCGUUUCAUGUUGUCCCAGAGUUCUCUGAGGCUCUCUUCAUUUGUUUUCAAUAUUUUUUCUCUUUUCUGUUCUGCAUCCAUGAUUUCAACUGAUCUGUCCUCCACUUCCCUUAUUUGUUCUUCUGCCUCUUGUAUUCUGCUGUUAGCUGCUUCUAAUGAUUUUUGUAUUUCAGUUAUUGUAUUUUGCAUCUCUUCUUGCUUAAGUUUUAUAUCUUGUAUCUCUUUGCUCAGCAUUUCCUGUAAAUUAUCCAUUUUGCCUCCAGUUUAUUUCCUGUGUCUUGCAUCAUCUUCAGCAUCAACAGUCUAAAGUCUUUUUCCUCAAGGCUGAGAAUCUCCUGAUCAUUGAGCUGUUUUUCUGGUUUUUUUUUUCUUUUCUCCCUUAUCUGAGUUAUAGUUCUCUGUCUUUUCAUCUUUAUAGGUUUUUGGUGUGGUGACCUUUCUACAGAUAAUAGAGUUGUAGCCUCUCUUACUUCUGGUAUCUGCCCCCCUUGUGGCUGAAGUUGGUAUGGGGCUUGCUGUAGGCUUCCUAAUGGGAGGGACUGGUGCCUGUGCACUGUUAGGUGGAGCUGAUUCCUAUCCCUCUGCUGGGUGGGGCUUUGUCUCUGGGUGAGAUUAGAGGGGGCUGUGUGCCUGGGGGGGGGCUCUUUGGGCAGCCUGUUUACUGAUGCGUAGGGCUGUGAUCCCACCUGGAUUGUUGUUUGGGCUGGGACUUCUCAGUGCUGGGGCCAGAUUUUCCCAAAAUGGCCACCCCCAGAGAAAAGUACACUGAGGAAUAUUUCCAAGAGCUUUGCUUUCAGUGCCCUUCCCCCACAACAUGCCACAGUCAUCCCCAGUUUUCCCAGGAGAUCCUCUGAGAUCUGCAGUCAUGUCUGACCCAGAUUCCUAUGGAGACUGUGCUCUGCCCUUGGACCCAUGCAAGUCUGUGUGUGCCUUUUAAGAAUGGGAUCUCCAUUUCCCUCAGUCCUGCUCACAAGCCCACUGGCCUUCAAUACCAGAUGCUCCAGGGGCUCUUUCUCCCAGUGCUAGAUGCCCAGGCCUGGGGUCUUGACAUGGGGCUCAGAACUCUCACUCCUGUAGGUGAAGCUCUGUGAAACAGUUACUUUCCAGUGCGUGGGGCUUCCUACCUGGGAGAGGUAUGGGGUUGCUUAUAUCACGUAAUCACCCCUCCUACCUCUUGAUGUGGCCUUUGGACUAGGAUAUCUUUUCGAAAGCUUCCAGUACAUUUGGUUGAAGAUUGCUCAGCAUUUGGUUGUGAUUUUGUUGUUUUUAGGAGAGAAGUUGAAUUCCAGUCCUUCUAUUCUUCCGUCUUAAUCUUGUCUCCAGUUAUGUCUAUUUUGAAAAAGAGUAUAUUCAAAUUUUUGGAUUUGAUACGCCCAUCAGUGAACAUAUAUUUUUUGAGUUUAUAACCUCAAAAUAAUAUAUUUCUUUGUAUUUACUAAUUGUACAAUUCUUCUGUAGUAAUACGUGUAGUACAUUAUGAAACACACCAAAACUAGAAAUUCUAGUAUUUUCUUCCUGUUUCUUCUGGUUCAUUUAAUAUAUGCCCUAGAAUGUAUAUACCCAAUUUGGAGACCACACUUUUAGAGAUUAUGAUUAAACAGAGAGAAAGAGUAGGAUGUUAUGAAGUUUGCCCCUUGAAGUCAGUAUAUGAUACCACAAGUGGUGCUCCUUCCAGCAAUUCUUUAUGUGGAGAAUUUUCAGACUUACAGGAAGAUCAAAAUAAUAUGUUGAACACUUGAGUACUCUGUUCAGAGUUACUAAUGUUUUGUCACAUUUUCUUCAUCCUUUUUUGUAUGUUUAUAUACACGUGUAUGUGUGUGUAUGUUUGUGUUCAUGUUUGUGUACAGAUGUGUCUCUGUGUUUAUAUACAUAUGUACUUUAUUGUGUGAAGAGUUACAGACUUUGAAAUAAACUAUGCAUCUCAGCAUUUCAUCAUGUAAACCUUUAUCACAUCAUGUAACCUUUAUCACAUCAUGUAAACCUGUAUCACAUCUAAGCAAAUUAACAGUAAUUUCGUAAUAUUUUUGUUUCUAACUAUCCCCAGUCUUUUUAGGUACAUUUUUUUUUAAAUCUGGAAAUAUACACAACAUUUUUUAUGUCUCUUUAUUCUCUAUUAAUCUGGGGUGGUCUCUUCUUUUUUCCGCCCUGAUUUUCCUUUUUUAAAAAGAUCAACCCCAGUUAUCUCAUGGCAUGUCCUACAUUCUAGAUUUAUCUGUUUGUUCUUUAUGAUGUUAUUUAAUUAACUUGAUGUUCUGUUCUCAUUGUAGUAGAAUUUUGUUAAUAAUCUUUAUUAUUAAUCUCCCUAAUUUGCCAUCAGAAUGAUAAGAUUCAUGGUUAAAAGUGAUAAGUCUAAAUUUUUCAAUCUCAUAUCAAGAAACUGUAAAUGUAAAUGAACAUUGUAAGCCUUGAGGUGUGAUUGUUCCUUAUACAAGACUAUAUGCUCAGGCCACUGAUGCUACCAAACUCAGUAUAGUUGUGUGUUCAUUUAACAUUGCAUUCAAAGUCACUGAAGAAGAUCUGUGCCCUAGAAAAGAAUAAUGAGCCCCCCCCCCGCCCAAUUCAAAGCAAAGUCAGCUUUUCUCAGGCUUGUUCAUCUACCUGAUUCUCUCUGGAUGGCUUUUAGGUAUUUUUAGAAAUGAAGUCAAAUUAUAGGAGUUUGUUCUAGGAUGUGUACAUUUUGGCAUGUUUGUUUUAAAAGACUUCUCACUGCCUUAUAGUCAUAUCGCCUGUUAAGAUAUUGAAGUCACUAAAGAGGGAGGGAAGUCCUCUGUUUUUAAAAGCUAUAGUUUUUACUUGUUUUGCUCAAAUUGGUUACCAGAUUGGAAUCAGACUGAGUAAAAUGUAGACCCAUAGUCAAGUUACACAUGCAAGUUACAGUUAAUAUACACUAUCAGGUUGUUAAAUAGCUAGUUUAAGUCCUUGCAUUAUUUCAGUUGGUUAAUGGCUUUUAUAAAAUAGAAUAAA